RNAcentral lists this unclassified non-coding RNA (269 nucleotides) under Hevea brasiliensis (rubber tree). Lineage: Eukaryota; Viridiplantae; Streptophyta; Magnoliopsida; Malpighiales; Euphorbiaceae. The record is from RNAcentral.
UAAGUUACCCCAGUCCAUCCAUGAGCAGAUCAUAACAGGGGUAAAAUUGAGGAUAAAAAAUAAAAAAAAAAACAGGGCAAGCAUCUGCUCCAAGGAACAACUCAGAUCCGUAAGUUACCCCAGUCCAUCCAUGAGCAGAGAAAGUUGAGAAGGGACUAGGGAGAUCAUGCAGUGGUGCUGUGACGAACUGUUAUCAGUCUCAUAAAUUUGAAAUUUUGGUAUGCAUUGUACAGAUUGAUUAUAUAUAUGGGAACCAAAAUAUGAACAUG